This 937-nucleotide ribosomal RNA is filed under the name Bacillus sp. PS2(2011). Its description in RNAcentral is "bacterial SSU rRNA". It matches the Rfam family "Bacterial small subunit ribosomal RNA", at positions 35 to 972 of the family's 1533-position model. Lineage: Bacteria; Bacillati; Bacillota; Bacilli; Caryophanales; Bacillaceae. The record is from RNAcentral.
AGUGGGGGCGGGCCAAAUAAUGCAAGUCGAGCGGACCGACGGGAGCUUGCUCCCUUAGGUCAGCGGCGGACGGGUGAGUAACACGUGGGUAACCUGCCUGUAAAACUGGGAUAACUCCGGGAAACCGGGGCUAAUACCGGAUGCUUGAUUGAACCGCAUGGUUCAAUCAUAAAAGGUGGCUUUUAGCUACCACUUACAGAUGGACCCGCGGCGCAUUAGCUAGUUGGUGAGGUAACGGCUCACCAAGGCGACGAUGCGUAGCCGACCUGAGAGGGUGAUCGGCCACACUGGGACUGAAACACGGCCCAAACUCCUACGGGAGGCAGCAGUAGGGAAUCUUCCGCAAUGGACAAAAGUCUGACGGAGCAACGCCGCGUGAGUGAUGAAGGUUUUCGGAUCGUAAAACUCUGUUGUUAGGGAAAAACAAGUACCGUUCGAAUAGGGCGGUACCUUGACGGUACCUAACCAAAAAGCCACGGCUAACUACGUGCCAGCAGCCGCGGUAAUACGUAGGUGGCAAGCGUUGUCCGGAAUUAUUGGGCGUAAAGCGCGCGCAGGCGGUUUCUUAAGUCUGAUGUGAAAGCCCCCGGCUCAACCGGGGAGGGUCAUUGGAAACUGGGGAACUUGAGUGCAGAAGAGGAGAGUGGAAUUCCACGUGUAGCGGUGAAAUGCGUAGAGAUGUGGAGGAACACCAGUGGCGAAGGCGACUCUCUGGUCUGUAACUGACGCUGAGGCGCGAAAGCGUGGGGAGCGAACAGGAUUAGAUACCCUGGUAGUCCACGCCGUAAACGAUGAGUGCUAAGUGUUAGAGGGUUUCGCCCUUUAGUGCUGCAGCAACGCAUAGCACUCCGCUGGGGGAGUACGGUCGCAGACUGAACUCAAGGAUGACGGGGCCGCACAGCGUGAGCAUGUGUAUUCGAGCACGGCGAAGGAACCU